Molecule: non-coding RNA, 1046 nt
Organism: Globicephala melas (long-finned pilot whale)
Lineage: Eukaryota; Metazoa; Chordata; Mammalia; Artiodactyla; Delphinidae
Source: RefSeq, a predicted model, not a curated record
CCCACGCAACGGACUACAGAGCCAAUUAGGCUGGGGUGGAGGAGCGCUAACAAGAGGGACUGGAGUUUCUAACCAAACCUGUAGCGCCUGGAGCCAACUUGAGGUAGAUCUUCGCAUACUGGUUUUGGCGCUGUCUCACCAAGGAGCUUCCGAUAACUGCCAGUCACAUGGUGACAGUUAUGCUUGAUUAAGCAGAUCCACCUCCACAACUUCAAAGAAUGCAUACAAACUCCCAGGCCAAAGGAUGAAAUCAAUUCUGCGGGUGUCAAAUUAGUGAUGCAUGUGAAAACUCUUUGAACAGGAUGAGGAUCUAUGCAAACUCAAGACAGCAUUUUCUCCAGUAAGUCUUUGGUGUGUCUAUUCCCUUCUUGGGGGUCUACUUCUCAGAGGACUGGAAUGAACACAUCAUAGUAAGGGAAUGCAUUUUGGUACUGUAAAAUUUUAACCAAGGGAGUGAUGUGUUCUGAAUCUGACUUUUCAAAGAUCUUUCUGGCUUUCAUGUGGAGAAUCGCUUUUAUGGAAGAAAGAGUGGAAGAAAGGAAACCAAUUAGGUAAUCUAGGCAAGAGAGUUUGUUUAUUUAGUCUAAAGCAGGAAUAAUUUACAUGGAGAAGUUAAGGGUUUUAGAUAGUACUUUGGAGUUAGUACCAAGAGGAUAUGCUGAUGAAUUGUGUGAAAAGUGAGAAAAAGAAGGAAUUUUGAGUGAUUUGUAGGCUUUCUUCUCUCUCUGUCUCUGUCUCUCUCUCCCCCCUCUCCUUUCUUUCCAGCAUCUACAGUUAUGCACAGUGUUGUCUAUUUCUACUUGGAAGACUGGACAAGAAACAAACUUUCUGGUAGAGCUUAGAGAAUCAAUAAUUCCAUUUUAGAUAUAUUAGGUUCCAGUUAUCUAUUAUGCAUCUAAGUGAUAAUAUCCAAAUAAGCAGUUGGUUGUAUAAGUAUAACAGAUAAGUAAAGAGAUCAUAUGGGACUUCCCUGGUGGUGCAGUGGUUAGGAAUCUGCCUGGCAGUGCAGGGGACACAGGUUCGAGCCCUGGUCUGGGAAGAUCCCA